RNAcentral lists this ribosomal RNA (274 nucleotides) under uncultured bacterium. RNAcentral's name for it is "partial 16S ribosomal RNA". It matches the Rfam family "Bacterial small subunit ribosomal RNA", at positions 523 to 796 of the family's 1533-position model. The record is from RNAcentral.
AUACAGAGGGUGCAAGCGUUAUGCGGAAUUACUGGGCGUAAAGCGCGCGUAGGCGGAUGAUUAAGUCAGUUGUGAAAGCCCUGGGCUCAACCUAGGAACUGCAUCUGAUACUGGUCGUCUAGAGUUUAAGAGAGGGAAGUGGAAUUCCAGGUGUAGCAGUGAAAUGCGUAGAUAUCUGGAGGGACAUCAGUGGCGAAGGCGACUUCCUGGCUUAAAACUGACGCUGAGGUGCGAAAGCGUGGGUAGCGAACGGGAGUAGAAACCCUAGUAGUCC